This 121-nucleotide antisense RNA is filed under the name Vibrio metschnikovii CIP 69.14. Its description in RNAcentral is "Vibrio RNA AS5". It matches the Rfam family "Vibrio RNA AS5". From Rfam's summary of the family: Identified by direct cloning an parallel sequencing experiments with 5S/tRNA depletion. Confirmed by Northern blot. The record is from Rfam by way of RNAcentral. Lineage: Bacteria; Pseudomonadati; Pseudomonadota; Gammaproteobacteria; Vibrionales; Vibrionaceae.
CUAUACCCAAACAACUUGGAGUUGCAGGUAGGCGGCAAGUGAGUUCAUCCCCAUGAGCAUAGACGGGCUAUGUGAUUGGGGUGAACGAACGCAGCCCCCCUGCAGCUUCAAGUAGGAAGGG